AACGCUAGCUACAGGCUUAACGCAUGCAAGUCGAGGGGCAGCAUGGUCUUAGCUUGCUAAGGCUGAUGGCGACCGGCGCACGGGUGAGUAACACGUAUCCAACCUGCCGUCUACUCUUGGCCAGCCUUCUGAAAGGAAGAUUAAUCCAGGAUGGGAUCAUGAGUUCACAUGUCCGCAUGAUUAAAGGUAUUUUCCGGUAGACGAUGGGGAUGCGUUCCAUUAGAUAGUAGGCGGGGUAACGGCCCACCUAGUCAACGAUGGAUAGGGGUUCUGAGAGGAAGGUCCCCCACAUUGGAACUGAGACACGGUCCAAACUCCUACGGGAGGCAGCAGUGAGGAAUAUUGGUCAAUGGGCGAUGGCCUGAACCAGCCAAGUAGCGUGAAGGAUGACUGCCCUAUGGGUUGUAAACUUCUUUUAUAAAGGAAUAAAGUCGGGUAUGCAUACCCGUUUGCAUGUACUUUAUGAAUAAGGAUCGGCUAACUCCGUGCCAGCAGCCGCGGUAAUACGGAGGAUCCGAGCGUUAUCCGGAUUUAUUGGGUUUAAAGGGAGCGUAGAUGGAUGUUUAAGUCAGUUGUGGAAGUUUGCGGCUCAACCGUAAAAUUGCAGUUGAUACUGGAUGUCUUGAGUGCAGUUGAGGCAGGCGGAAUUCGUGGUGUAGCGGUGAAAUGCUUAGAUAUCACGAAGAACUCCGAUUG
This 696-nucleotide ribosomal RNA is filed under the name uncultured bacterium. RNAcentral describes it as "bacterial SSU rRNA". It matches the Rfam family "Bacterial small subunit ribosomal RNA", at positions 32 to 715 of the family's 1533-position model. The record is from RNAcentral.